Small nucleolar RNA from Lepus europaeus (European hare), 70 nucleotides. RefSeq annotates it as small nucleolar RNA SNORD30. Lineage: Eukaryota; Metazoa; Chordata; Mammalia; Lagomorpha; Leporidae. The transcript has a single exon. The record is from RefSeq and is a predicted model, not a curated record.
CUACAGGGUGACUUACGUGGGAUCUCGUGCGGUUGAUGGCUUGCGGCUGAGACUGGGAAAUCCGACUUUC